Molecule: ribosomal RNA, 264 nt
Filed under: uncultured Oscillospiraceae bacterium
Lineage: Bacteria; Bacillati; Bacillota; Clostridia; Eubacteriales; Oscillospiraceae
Description: partial 16S ribosomal RNA
Rfam family: Bacterial small subunit ribosomal RNA
Source: RNAcentral
UGAAACCAGAUAUGACUUAGUGGCGGACGGGUGAGUAACACGUGAGCAACCUGCCUUUCAGAGGGGGAUAACGGCUGGAAACGAUCGCUAAUACCGCAUGACAUAGCGGAAUCGCAUGGUUCUGUUAUCAAAGAUUUUAUCGCUGAAAGAUGGGCUCGCGUCUGAUUAGAUAGUUGGUGGGGUAACGGCCUACCAAGUCGACGAUCAGUAGCCGGACUGAGAGGUUGAACGGCCACAUUGGGACUGAGAUACGGCCCAGACUCC